This is a long non-coding RNA of Brassica napus (rape), 891 nucleotides long. RefSeq lists it as uncharacterized. Lineage: Eukaryota; Viridiplantae; Streptophyta; Magnoliopsida; Brassicales; Brassicaceae. The transcript is spliced from 2 exons. The record is from RefSeq and is a predicted model, not a curated record.
UACAUCUGUAAUAACUCCUGCAACACAAAAACAGCAGAGUAUCUGAUUAAUUUCAUUACAUGAUGCUGAUGAAUGUAUAACAUGAAUGAUGUCGUAAGAUGAUGAUGAUACCUUGGAUACUUGGCGCCUAAAAUGUCUUUCUGGCCAUAUUUUCUCCAGCUGAAGACAUCAUCAUGAGGUUCAAAAUUGUACCUCUUUUUAGAGCUCAAGUUGUAAUCUUUCGAUCCUCCGCCAUCAAUAAACUCUUCACUUCUCGGACUUCCGUUGAUCGAAGUCGGAGAUUCUGGAACUUUACCGGUGUUAGCUACAGGAUUCGCCGCAAGAUUUACCAUCUCCGCCAUCUGACUGUGUACUACGCUGGAACCGUUGAGCAUCAAAAUAGCUUUCUCAUAGGAAGAAACGAUCUGAUGUAGGAGGGUUUCUCUCAUCUCCGUCGUCAUACAUAAGGAAGAAGAAGACAACGAUGGUGGUGGCGGAGAAGGAGCUGUUCCGAGCUCAGCUUGGAGCUGCUUUGCCGCCUUCAGCCCAUGAACCAGCUCACUUAGCAAAUUCUUCUGCUCCCAGUUCGACAUAUCCAUAUUAUCUCACCAAAAGUGUAAUUUGGUCAGUGCCAAUGUUUCCGAUCAAAGAAGCCCUUGCCGGAUACUUACCGGUGAAGCGAUCACCGGAAAAAAUAGUUAAUAGCAGUACCUUAUAUAGAUUUCUUGGUAGCAGUUUUGACACAGAAGGGGAGGAAAUGUAAUGUUUAUAAAACACGGUUAUCUUUUAGCUCCUUAUGGUAAGGUUUAGAUUAAGAAUUUAUAGGAUUGAGGAGGAGAAAAACGUAAGCUUUUGGGGUUGUGGUUAGAUGAAGAUUGAUUUCUUUUGAAAUUUAAAGGCUUUAGAUCUGAA